Molecule: long non-coding RNA, 510 nt
Filed under: Helianthus annuus (common sunflower)
Lineage: Eukaryota; Viridiplantae; Streptophyta; Magnoliopsida; Asterales; Asteraceae
Description: hypothetical non coding rna
Source: RNAcentral
GUAGAAUUGUAGACACCACCACCAUCGCCCAGCUCCAGUCACCUCCUCUCUCUCUACUUAUGUUCAUCAGUUGAACAAACACCACCACAAACCACCAUUGUUCACCUCACUCGUUAGUAUCCCCACCAUAGCUGACGAACACAAACACCAGUCGCCGGAUUUAGGCCACAAACCAAAAAACAAGACCCAAGUGUGUCGAAAAUCACCAGAUAACCGGUGGAGCCUUGAUCUACUCGUAGCCUGUUUCAAAUUCCUAAAGAUCUGUUAUUAUUCCAUUUGUUUUAACAGAUCUCGUAUUAUUCCGUUUGUUUUAGAAAAGUCCUCAAGAUCUGUGUAUAUGUUCCUUUUUAUCUUCAAUUUUUGGUGCCUCAAGAUCUUUGUAAUUGUUUGUGAUUGAUGUAAUUUAUAAGUUGAGGUGUGAUUAUGCACUGAAACUUGUUCAAAAGGAGGUCAAUUUAAGGUUUUUUUAUGCUGCAAAGGGAAAAUUGUAUUUGGUAUUGUUGGUGGUAG